UUGGCCCUAAUACAAUUCUACAGAAAGAUAAGUUCAGAAACAAAAAUAAUUGUUGGCUUGGUCACAUUUGACCCAGCCAUACCAUUAAAGGGGAUUCAAUCUGUGAAUCUAUAAAUUCAAUUUAUCUAUAAAAAAUGUGUAAAAGAUUUUUAUAAAAAAUUAAAAAAUAAUGUAACACAAAAAGAGAACAUCAGGGAUAUCAUAUUCAAUAAAAAAACUGGGAUUUACACAAGUAGAGAGAACAUUUACAUACAAAAUGUAAGACUUUUUGAAAAUUUUCAGUACAUAACUUUUACCUAAGUCAGUUUUUUUGUGAACUGAUAAAAACUAUGUUAUUACAGGUUUUUUUGGAGAUGAACUCAUACUCUAUGAGGAAGACUGCAAUAAACUCAUCCAGAAACAAAACUCAUGGGCUCUACUCCGGAAAAACAGCAGGGGUUCACCGCUCAGUAAGAUAGUUAGUCAGAGCUGCCACAUAUUCCAAGAGAUGUUGUUCUGACUCCUGAAGUGGAGUCCCUUGGAACAUCUGCUACCCCGGUGUUCAGCGGUGCGUCGGUGGCUUCGAUCUGAGUGGAUGACAAUUGCUGUAAACCUUGAGGGUCGAAAAUUUUAGAACUAACACCUCCGGUUUCCCUCUCUCGUGGCAUAUUGACGUCGUCCAUUAUGGGAUUCAAUGUACUGGGAGUCGACAAAGUGGGAUCUGGGCAACUGCCGUUUAUAUAUGAAACAUUGGAAUUAGCUGGAGUGUGAUUCAUAUUGAUACUGUGUUGAAAUUGGAAUUUAAUAAAGUGAAAAAAUUUAAGCAACAAGGCCUUUAUAGUGGUCCACAAGAUAGAAUUUACAUGCAUAAGUGAGUGAAUAAAGUGGUGACAGUGAUAAAAGUUUUCAAAAGAAGGACAAAAACGAUCAGGUAUUUAUCAAUUGCUAUGUUAUUUAAAGCUUAUUAUAUCUUAUUUUCUCACCAGAUCUGCUAAUUUGCCUAAUAUGCCUGUAUUUAUAACUAUGCGGACUUCUUUUGAAAACAAUGUUAUGGGAAAAUGAUCAAAUGCCAAACUCCAAUUAACUUAUUGCUGAUUGUAGCCAAUAUUAUUUUUAAAAGUGGCAUAUUUUUAAGUGACUUGUGAAUGAAUUGAUAAAAUUCAGCAAAUAAGGCCCAUAAAAUAUCAUAUAAUAAAAGUAGUAAAAUAAU
Molecule: long non-coding RNA, 1189 nt
Organism: Nilaparvata lugens (brown planthopper)
Lineage: Eukaryota; Metazoa; Arthropoda; Insecta; Hemiptera; Delphacidae
Exons: 3
Source: RefSeq, a predicted model, not a curated record